GAUGAACGCUGGCGGCGUGCCUAAUACAUGCAAGUCGAACGAACAGAUGAGGAGCUUGCUCCUCUGACGUUAGCGGCGGACGGGUGAGUAACACGUGUAUAACCUACCUAUAAGACUGGGAUAACUUCGGGAAACCGGAUCUAAUCCCGGAGAAUAUAUUGAACCGCAUGGUUCAAUAGUGAAAGACGGCUGUGGUGUCACUAAUCGCUGGUUCCGCGCCGCAUUAGCUAGUUGGUAAGGUAACGGCUUACCACGGCAACGAUGCGUAGCCGACCUGAGAGGGUGGUCGGCCACAUGGGAACGGAGACGCGGACAAGACUACUGCGAGAGGCAGCAGUAGGGAAUGUUACGCAGUGGGCGAGAGCCUGGCGGAGCAACGGGGCGUGAGUGAUGGAGGUGUUCGGAUCGUAAAACUCUGUUAUGAGGGAAGAACAGAUGUGGAAGGAGAUGUGCCCGUCUUGACGGUAACUAAUCAGAAAGCCACGGCUAACUACGUG
RNAcentral lists this ribosomal RNA (497 nucleotides) under uncultured bacterium. RNAcentral describes it as "partial 16S ribosomal RNA". It matches the Rfam family "Bacterial small subunit ribosomal RNA", at positions 28 to 507 of the family's 1533-position model. The record is from RNAcentral.